Non-coding RNA from Leptonychotes weddellii (Weddell seal), 672 nucleotides. Lineage: Eukaryota; Metazoa; Chordata; Mammalia; Carnivora; Phocidae. The record is from RefSeq and is a predicted model, not a curated record.
GCGCAGAGCUCCCCCUGGGCCCGCGAACUUGGCCAUUCAGCCAGCGCUGUCCCCGCUGCGCGCCCUCGCGCCUCUGCCCGAGAAGCCAGGCGCUGUUCCUGCACCACAGAAGAUGGCAAAGGUGGCUAAGGACCUCAAGCAAGGAGUUCAAAAGAUGUCCCUGGGCCAGCAGCAGUCAGCAAGAGGUGUGCCUUGUUUGAAAUGCAAGGGGACGUGUUCAGGCUUCGAGCCACAUCCAUGGAGGUAACAGAAUUUGUCAGGAGAGGCUCUGCCUGCUUUCAUUUCUUGGCUGUCCUUUCUGGGAACCACUGGUCAUUCUGCUCUGCUGGGACUGCUUAAGAUGCAUGCAUUUCAGGGAGGACUUGGUCUGGAGUGAAUGCACUCCUGCUUUGCCUAAUUCAGAAAUGACAGAGAGGCCCUUGGGAGCCAAGAUGAGAAAGGAGUUUAGUGCUUCACACACCAUUUCGAGGCGAGGAUCACCAAGCUCAGCCCACCAAGGCCGCACUGGGAAGAUGUGAGCAGUUGUUAGUCGGUGCCUGGUCCUCUCUGGAUUGCUGUAUCCUGGGUCUUGGUGCAUGCGGUUGAUCUCCCCAUACUGUGUAAUCGCCCCUGUUUUGAUCUGAGUGCCCCUGGGCCCGAAAUAAAAGUCACUGUGUCCACAGGACUUAAAAA